RNAcentral lists this long non-coding RNA (265 nucleotides) under Prunus persica (peach). RNAcentral describes it as "long non-coding RNA (PPER_LNC006957)". Lineage: Eukaryota; Viridiplantae; Streptophyta; Magnoliopsida; Rosales; Rosaceae. The record is from RNAcentral.
AGAGAUUUGAUCAAUUAUAUCCUUGGAGUAUUCUCUCUCCUUAGUGAGAGCAGAGAUUCCUUGUUAUACAUUCAUUUGCCUUCAUGACUUUACUGAGAGUCCUGAUAAAUACUUUUAAGUCAUGUCUCAUACAACGCAACUAUAUACGGCCCUCAAAGACAAACAACAUAGGCACAAGACAUCUAUGAUGUUUGAGAUCUAAGGAUUAUUUGCACCAUUGCAAUCUAUGAGUUCUAGUUUGACAUGUGAGUAAAGACUUCUAUUC